Molecule: ribosomal RNA, 217 nt
Filed under: uncultured bacterium
Lineage: Bacteria
Description: partial 16S ribosomal RNA
Rfam family: Bacterial small subunit ribosomal RNA
Source: RNAcentral
AAUCUCAGUUCAGAUUGCAGGCUGCAACUCGCCUGCAUGAAGUCGGAAUUGCUAGUAAUCGUAGGUCAGCAUACUACGGUGAAUACGUUCCCGGGCCUUGUACACACCGCCCGUCAAACCAUGGGAGUCGGAAAUGCCCGAAGUCUGUGACCCAACCUUAGGGAGGGAGCAGCCGAAGGCAGGUCGGAUGACUGGGGUGAAGUCGUAACAAGGUAGC